Molecule: ribosomal RNA, 465 nt
Filed under: Vreelandella stevensii
Lineage: Bacteria; Pseudomonadati; Pseudomonadota; Gammaproteobacteria; Oceanospirillales; Halomonadaceae
Description: partial 16S ribosomal RNA
Rfam family: Bacterial small subunit ribosomal RNA
Source: RNAcentral
CCUACGGGGAGCUGCAGUGGGGAAUAUUGGACAAUGGGCGAAAGCCUGAUCCAGCCAUGCCGCGUGUGUGAAGAAGGCCUUCGGGUUGUAAAGCACUUUCAGUGGGGAAGAAAGCCUUGGGGCUAAUACCCUCGAGGAAGGACAUCACCCACAGAAGAAGCACCGGCUAACUCCGUGCCAGCAGCCGCGGUAAUACGGAGGGUGCGAGCGUUAAUCGGAAUUACUGGGCGUAAAGCGCGCGUAGGCGGUCUGAUAAGCCGGUUGUGAAAGCCCCGGGCUCAACCUGGGAACGGCAUCCGGAACUGUCAGGCUAGAGUGUAGGAGAGGAAGGUAGAAUUCCCGGUGUAGCGGUGAAAUGCGUAGAGAUCGGGAGGAAUACCAGUGGCGAAGGCGGCCUUCUGGACUGACACUGACGCUGAGGUGCGAAAGCGUGGGUAGCAAACAGGAUUAGAUACCCUGGUAGUC